GCCGACAGCUAGCUCUCUGCAACAUGAUCGGCCACUGAAGCUAAGCAGGGCUGCGCCCGGUCAGUACCUGGAUGGGAGACCACAUGGGAAAGCUAGGUUGCUGCCGGAA
Molecule: ribosomal RNA, 109 nt
Filed under: Danio rerio (zebrafish)
Lineage: Eukaryota; Metazoa; Chordata; Actinopteri; Cypriniformes; Danionidae
Source: RNAcentral